RNAcentral lists this ribosomal RNA (460 nucleotides) under uncultured bacterium. Its description in RNAcentral is "partial 16S ribosomal RNA". It matches the Rfam family "Bacterial small subunit ribosomal RNA", at positions 338 to 795 of the family's 1533-position model. The record is from RNAcentral.
CCUACGGGGGGCAGCAGUGAGGAAUAUUGGUCAAUGGACGAGAGUCUGAACCAGCCAAGUAGCGUGAAGGAUGACUGCCCUAUGGGUUGUAAACUUCUUUUAUAUGGGAAUAAAAUGUUCCACGUGUGGGAUUUUGUAUGUACCAUAUGAAUAAGGAUCGGCUAACUCCGUGCCAGCAGCCGCGGUAAUACGGAGGAUCCGAGCGUUAUCCGGAUUUAUUGGGUUUAAAGGGAGCGUAGGUGGAUUGUUAAGUCAGUUGUGAAAGUUUGCGGCUCAACCGUAAAAUUGCAGUUGAAACUGGCAGUCUUUAGUUCAGUAGAGGUGGGCGGAAUUCGUGGUGUAGCGGUGAAAUGCUUAGAUAUCACGAAGAACUCCGAUUGCGAAGGCAGCUCACUGGACUGCAACUGACACUGAGGCUCGAAAGUGUGGGUAUCGAACAGGAUUAGAUACCCCAGUAGUC